Molecule: ribosomal RNA, 772 nt
Filed under: uncultured bacterium
Lineage: Bacteria
Description: bacterial SSU rRNA
Rfam family: Bacterial small subunit ribosomal RNA
Source: RNAcentral
ACGGCAGCACGGGUGCUUGCACCUGGUGGCGAGUGGCGAACGGGUGAGUAAUGCGUCGGAACGUACCGAGUAAUGGGGGAUAACGCAGCGAAAGUUGUGCUAAUACCGCAUACGCCCUGAGGGGGAAAGUGGGGGACCGCAAGGCCUCACGUUAUUCGAGCGGCCGACGUCUGAUUAGCUAGUUGGUGGGGUAAAGGCCUACCAAGGCGACGAUCAGUAGCGGGUCUGAGAGGAUGAUCCGCCACACUGGGACUGAGACACGGCCCAGACUCCUACGGGAGGCAGCAGUGGGGAAUUUUGGACAAUGGGGGCAACCCUGAUCCAGCCAUUCCGCGUGAGUGAAGAAGGCCUUCGGGUUGUAAAGCUCUUUCAGCUGGAACGAAACGGUACGCGCUAACAUCGUGUGCUAAUGACGGUACCGGCAGAAGAAGCACCGGCUAACUACGUGCCAGCAGCCGCGGUAAUACGUAGGGUGCGAGCGUUAAUCGGAAUUACUGGGCGUAAAGCGUGCGCAGGCGGAUUGUUAAGCAAGACGUGAAAUCCCCGGGCUUAACCUGGGAAUGGCGUUUUGAACUGGCAGUCUAGAGUGCGUCAGAGGGGGGUGGAAUUCCACGUGUAGCAGUGAAAUGCGUAGAGAUGUGGAGGAACACCGAUGGCGAAGGCAGCCCCCUGGGAUGACACUGACGCUCAUGUACGAAAGCGUGGGUAGCAAACAGGAUUAGAUACCCUGGUAGUCCACGCCCUAAACGAUGUCAACUGGUUGUUGGGGGAG